Molecule: ribosomal RNA, 473 nt
Filed under: Escherichia coli
Lineage: Bacteria; Pseudomonadati; Pseudomonadota; Gammaproteobacteria; Enterobacterales; Enterobacteriaceae
Description: bacterial SSU rRNA
Rfam family: Bacterial small subunit ribosomal RNA
Source: RNAcentral
AAAUUGAAGAGUUUGAUCAUGGCUCAGAUUGAACGCUGGCGGCAGGCCUAACACAUGCAAGUCGAACGGUAACAGGAAGCAGCUUGCUGCUUCGCUGACGAGUGGCGGACGGGUGAGUAAUGUCUGGGAAACUGCCUGAUGGAGGGGGGUAACUACUGGAAACGGUAGCUAAUACCGCAUAACGUCGCAAGACCAAAGAGGGGGACCUUCGGGCCUCUUGCCAUCGGAUGUGCCCAGAUGGGAUUAGCUAGUAGGUGGGGUAACGGCUCACCUAGGCGACGAUCCCUAGCUGGUCUGAGAGGAUGACCAGCCACACUGGAACUGAGACACGGUCCAGACUCCUACGGGAGGCAGCAGUGGGGAAUAUUGCACAAUGGGCGCAAGCCUGAUGCAGCCAUGCCGCGUGUAUGAAGAAGGCCUUCGGGUUGUAAAGUACUUUCAGCGGGGAGGAAGGGAGUAAAGUUAAUACCUUU